GGUAUAGAAAGUCUAUAUACAGAAGAUUUAAAGCCAAAAUAACUGUAAAUGUAAAAUCUCCACAAGAUUUUGCAUGAUAUUGGCUUGCUUAUUUUUUUUAUUAACAUUCAAAUUUUCUAAGCAGCAGUAAAUCAAUAGGACAGUGUGAUUUUGACGGUAUGAUAUCAAUCAGCAGCUUUUCAUUUGCUCUUCUUUCUUUGUGUCGUUCUAUGACAGGUGGCGGACAAGUGAGUCAUUUCAUUGUUCAAGUAAUUUUAUAUUUGUGAUUCAGCUUGAAACACGUCCCCUCAAUAAACUGUUUCCUUUUACAAAAAGGGUCAAGAAAAGGCAAAUAAAGGAAAGGAGUCAGAGGAAGACUCCAACUCUGGAUCUGGAUCUGGAUCUGGAUCUGAAUCAGAUGGGGUAAGAAACUUCUUCAGUUGCCUAAAGACAGCUUCAUACUGUUUCUGUAACUUUACAGUGCUUUAAUGUUGAUUUUUCUAUUUCCUCUUUUAGCAAGGAGGACGCAAAAAGGUAAGAGUUUACAACCUUUUUGAAUUUAGGUGAUAGUUUUUUUUAUAUGUAUAUAAAUGAUUCAAUUUUAAAUGUGACCACUAUUUUACAUGUGUUCGUUUUCCAGAAAGGGAAAGGACACGGGAAAGGACACGGGAAAGGACAUGGGAAAGGACAAAAUAAGGGAAGAGGACCCCCCAUGUGACAGGGGUGAUUGUGGUGGUGGUAACCGUGUCGGUUGUCAUGGUGAUCGCUGAAUUCUGUGUCACUAAAAAUAAAUAACUACUUGAUAAACUAAUACAUAAAGACUGCUUUAUUUUGUUUUUACACAAACAUAACUUCAGUGGCAGACACAUUUAUCUGUGUCAGACAAGCAUUGUUACAUACUGUGUUCAUAACUCCAACAGAUUUAACAAGCCUUGGAAUCCGCUGUAAAGUGUAAAGCUGAAUGAUAAGUUCAAACAUUAUUAUUUUUUUAUCAGUAAACAGAAGCAAAGAGGUAAGAGGAAUAACUUUGUCCUCAUGUAGUGCCAAAGGCAACAAAACCCAAUAGUUCUUGAGAGAAGCUUUAAAUAUGUGGAUGUCUAAACAUGUGAAACCACCACUUAAAAACAAUAUUUCUUUUUUUUGCUUCAAUAUAACUAUUUCAAACUGUACUUUAAAAAAAAGAAAGAUAUUUAAUCCCUGACUCUGAGUCUAAUCCUUAUAUAACUAAAGAAAUUGAAUAAGGACGUUGUGUU
Molecule: long non-coding RNA, 1232 nt
Filed under: Xyrichtys novacula (pearly razorfish)
Lineage: Eukaryota; Metazoa; Chordata; Actinopteri; Labriformes; Labridae
Source: RNAcentral